This 548-nucleotide ribosomal RNA is filed under the name uncultured bacterium. Its description in RNAcentral is "bacterial SSU rRNA". It matches the Rfam family "Bacterial small subunit ribosomal RNA", at positions 777 to 1322 of the family's 1533-position model. The record is from RNAcentral.
AAUAGAUACCCGGGUAGUCCACGCUGUAAACGUUGGGCGCUAGGUGUGGGGGGCCUCUCCGGUUCUCUGUGCCGCAGCUAACGCAUUAAGCGCCCCGCCUGGGGAGUACGGCCGCAAGGCUAAAACUCAAAGGAAUUGGCGGGGGGCCCGCACAAGCGGCGGAGCAUGCGGAUUAAUUCGAUGCAACGCGAAGAACCUUACCUGGGUUUGACAUCACUCAAAAACUCGCAGAGAUGCGGGGGUCCUUCGGGGUGGGUGACAGGUGGUGCAUGGCUGUCGUCAGCUCGUGUCGUGAGAUGUUGGGUUAAGUCCCGCAACGAGCGCAACCCUCGUCCAAUGUUGCCAGCAAUUCGGUUGGGGACUCAUUGGAGACUGCCGGGGGUCAACUCGGAGGAAGGUGGGGAUGACGUCAAGUCAUCAUGCCCCUUAUGUCCAGGGCUUCACGCAUGCUACAAUGGCCGGUACAAAGGGUUGCGAUGCCGUGAGGUGGAGCGAAUCCCGAAAAAGCCGGUCUCAGUUCGGAUCGGGGUCUGCAACUCGGUACCCCG